RNAcentral lists this ribosomal RNA (1821 nucleotides) under Triticum aestivum (bread wheat). Its description in RNAcentral is "partial small subunit ribosomal RNA". The record is from RNAcentral. Lineage: Eukaryota; Viridiplantae; Streptophyta; Magnoliopsida; Poales; Poaceae.
AUGGCGAGGGACGAACCCUCCGCCGCCGCCGUGGACGUCGCCGACGGCGACUCACCCUCCUCCAGCCCAACCCUCACGCGCCUACGGGAAGCACUCGCCGCCCUCUCCGAGGCGUUCGAGUCCGGCGACACCGCCUCCUCCGACGCAGCCGCUGCCGCCGUCGCCGAGAUCCUCAGCCCGUCCGAUGCCGACGCGUCCGCCGCGCUCUCCGAGCAGAUGCUCCGCGAGGUCCACGCGUUCCUCUCGCGCCCGUCCUCGAAUCAGAUGGCCAUUGACGCGCUGUCUCUAGAGCUUCCCAAGCCAGUGGCGAAGCUGGGUGCUCGGAUGGGGAAUUGCCGGGACAUUGCCAGAGCAAUCAUUGAGUUCUUUGCAUCGAAUUGCAGCCCAAGGGACAUGCUCUGCAUCCUCUGCGAGGCAUUAGAUACACCAGUGGCAUUUAAUGGAUCAGCAUACCUUGUUAUUCUACUAGAUGGGCUUGCCAGCACGCUUACUUUGAUUCAGAGGAGACAUAUUGAGCAAGUAAAGGUCGUACUUCCUGCCAUCCUUCGAGUUAUGCAUGCUAAUUUAUCAGAAUAUGAUGGGGAACAUAGAAUGAGUACUGUUGAUCUGUUCAGUGCAGCCCUCCGUAUUGGCAAUGCUAUACAAGAAAUGUGCAAAACAAUGGUAAACCACAGGAAGGAAGAGUUAUGUUCUAUACUUGGUCUAUACGCCCUUCAAAACAUAGCUCUUUUGCAGGCUCUUGUAUCAUCAGAAAGCAAACAUCAGAAUAUUCUAUCUACUUGUGGUUCAGUUGUUCUUCAAUAUUCUAAAUUUCUUAUGUUUUGCGGCUUCACCUAUUUGGGUCUUUUAACUGGUAAUGAUGUGACCUCAACCACCACUAAGCUUUCUAAAGAAGAGGACGACAAUUUUCUGGACUGCUUUUCUUCUGCUAUGGACGGUGCAAGUCUUGUAGUUGUGUGGACAUCUAUGCACGAUGACAUGUCAAAAUAUGCUGGAGCAGAGUUUGAAUCAGCUCUGAAAGAAGUUCAAGACAAUUGUAUUAGGAAAUGGGAAGCAAUUAACAUGUUUAGAUACGUCUUGUCUUCAGUUAAUUACUCAUGGGCAAUCAAAUCUCACAGUCUGGACUUAUUGUUGACUCUAGUUGAUGAUAAGUGUAGUGAGGAAACCAACGAUCAUGUAGAUUUCCCGUAUUCCACUCAAAUUUUUGCCACACUCAAGGCCAUUGAAAGAGUCAUGAUAGCUGCCCCAGAUACAUUGAUGCGGAAGAAAGCCUUUUCUGCCCUGAAAAGGGUUAUUUCAGCGGUGCCAUCCACUCAGAGAUUUGAUAUCUUACAGGCCCUCAUCGAGAAUAGUAUGUUCCCCUCCUUGACUGCAAUUCUUUUAGAUCUGGUGAAGAAUGAAGUUUCGAGAGAGAGCCGUCGAGCUGAUCAGGUUAAUGGAUCUGAUCGAUCACAAGAUGCUGGGGAAUCACCACCUUGGGCUUCUCAGGUGCUUGAGUUAGUGGAGCUGAUCUUGAGGCCUCCAGAAGGUGGUCCUCCUUGUCUUCGUGAUCACAGUGAAGAGGUAUUAUCUGCUCUGAACUUGCUCAGAUUGAUUCUGAUAAUAGAUUCAAGAGGAUCCAGAUCAGCCAAAAUGUUGCGGGAUGAAAAAAUACGAGCCGUGUACUCAGAGUGGCUGAUCCCACUAAGAUUAAUUAUUACAGGGAUUCAAUCGGAACUCGAGAAAGGCGGCGGUGAGGAUGAAAAUCAGAUGUUGUGCUUGUUAAAUCCUGUUCAAUUCGUACUUCACCGCUGCAUUGAGCUGGUGGAGGAAAAAAAAUGA